Molecule: non-coding RNA, 339 nt
Organism: Nannospalax galili (Upper Galilee mountains blind mole rat)
Lineage: Eukaryota; Metazoa; Chordata; Mammalia; Rodentia; Spalacidae
Source: the annotation of a RefSeq genome assembly
AUGGACAUGAAGGCCUCCACUAAGCUCCUGGGUCUUCCACUGCUUCUCUGGCUCCCACGAUGCAGAUGUGACAUUCAGAUGAACCAGUCUCCACCCUCCCUGUCUGUAUCUCUGGGAGACAAAGUCACCAUCAAUUGCCAGGCCAGUCAGAGCAUUUACAGCUUCCUGGCUUGGUAUCAGCAGAAGCUGGGGAAAGCGCCUAUGCUCCUGAUCUAUGCUGCUCUGAAUUUACAAUCUGGGGUUCCAUUGAGGUUCAGUGGCAGUGGAUCUGGAACAGAUUUCACUCUCACCAUCAGCAUCCUGGAGUCUGAAGAUAUUGCUACUUAUUACUGUCAAUAG